This is a long non-coding RNA of Cyprinus carpio carpio, 1277 nucleotides long. The record is from Ensembl. NCBI's taxonomy places the organism in Eukaryota, Metazoa, Chordata, Actinopteri, Cypriniformes, Cyprinidae.
AUGUGAUGUGAGAGCGAAUCGAUAAAAGGAUUCCUUCCUUCACUUUUCACUUUGCUGCUUCUCUCUUUACUGCAGCAGUUAUAGCUUCAUUCCCAACCAAUCCUGGGAAACAGUGGGGGAAAAUCACUGCUCGUCUUUCUCUGCUCCACUCUCUUCGGUUCCACAAUAUAUUGUUGUCAUCAAGGUUUACAAUAUACAAAGCUCAUUCUCCUCUUUCCUCGCCCUUUUCCCCCUCUCUCUCGGUUUCUCCCUUACACUAUCAUUAUAUAUUAAUAGGACUGUUUCCUUUGUCCACCUGGACCUUUUAUUGAUUUUUGGACCACACUGUUUGAAGAGAGAGUGGGAGAAUCUCCUUCAUCAGAGAACAUCUUGGGCAUCAGAACGCCCAUCACACAAGCUAUCAGACUGUAGCCAGUCAGUGUACAUGGGAAUGAUUUGUAGGCAUGACUAAUAGAAGCCGAUGGGCAGGAUGCCAGGGUUACUUUCACCUCUUUGAGAAACACCUUUCAGUUAUCACAGUGAGUCAAGUACUACUGUAUGUCACUGACUUCUUUUUUAUUCUUAAGUUUCUACAGACAUUUAUGGGUCAAUGACAUGAUGCUCAUUUUCCUUUGAAAGUCACUGAUCUUUAAAGCUCUUCUUUAAUGGCAUGGUUUUAUUUUCUGGAUUAAAAUUAAUUUUAUAUAGUUUUUUGGGGUGGCAUAAGCCUUUUAAUUGCCUCAUUAAAAAUUAAAAAGUAGAAAAGAAGAAUGUAGUUUGGAUUCAUUUAAACAAAACUGGUUCACUGCUUCAAACAUUGACAAAGCAUGGGUAGUUCAUGUUGUGAAAGAUUGUGUUAGAUGUGUGAGAUUCCCUGAAAUGUUUAGUACAUUAGAAAACAUCAAAUACUAUUUAUAAAUUAUAUUCAUGAAUUAAUAAUUUAUAUUUAUAAUCAAAAUAUGUAUUUAAAAACUUUUUUUGAAAAUAAGAAUUGUCAAUUAUGCCACAUUUCAUUUUUAGAAUGAUACAUUUGUAACAUUUCUAGAAUAUGGUAAGAGAGCCCCCCCCCCCCCCUAAAAAAAAUCAGCUCUCCCUUAAAUGUUUUACAAAGUUUGACUCUGGCAUUUGAGGGAGAGCAUGCAGGCCACUGCCUCUUCACAGAUCUCUGCUUCUGUCAUCAUGCUCCACCAUCCGUGAAAACACACUUCUGCAAGCACACAUACAAAGACAGAGCACCAUUUUUUAAGUUAAAAACAGAACAUAUUGUAUUCAAAGCCAAGACAACUCAGACAAACAUG